AGAGUUUGAUCAUGGCUCAGAGCGAACGCUGGCGGCAGGCCUAACACAUGCAAGUCGAGCGCCCGUGGCAACACGGGAGCGGCAGACGGGUGAGUAACACGUGGGAACGUGCCCUUCGGUUCGGAAUAACCCGGGGAAACCCGGACUAAUACCGGAUACGUCCGCAAGGAGAAAGAUUUAUCGCCGAAGGAGCGGCCCGCGUCCGAUUAGCUUGUUGGUGAGGUAACGGCUCACCAAGGCUACGAUCGGUAGCUGGUCUGAGAGGAUGAUCAGCCACACUGGGACUGAGACACGGCCCAGACUCCUACGGGAGGCAGCAGUGGGGAAUAUUGGACAAUGGGCGCAAGCCUGAUCCAGCCAUGCCGCGUGAGUGAUGAAGGCCCUAGGGUUGUAAAGCUCUUUCGGCGGGGAAGAUAAUGACGGUACCCGCAGAAGAAGCCCCGGCCAACUUCGUGCCAGCAGCCGCGGUAAUACGAAGGGGGCUAGCGUUGCUCGGAAUCACUGGGCGUAAAGCGCACGUAGGCGGGUUGCUAAGUCGGGGGUGAAAUCCUGGAGCUCAACUCCAGAACUGCCUUCGAUACUGGCGGCCUUGAGUCCGGGAGAGGUGAGUGGAACUCCGAGUGUAGAGGUGAAAUUCGUAGAUAUUCGGAAGAACACCAGUGGCGAAGGCGGCUCACUGGCCCGGUACUGACGCUGAGGUGCGAAAGCGUGGGAGCAAACAGGAUUAGAUACCCCCGUAGUCC
This 743-nucleotide ribosomal RNA is filed under the name uncultured bacterium. RNAcentral's name for it is "bacterial SSU rRNA". It matches the Rfam family "Bacterial small subunit ribosomal RNA", at positions 8 to 796 of the family's 1533-position model. The record is from RNAcentral.